Molecule: unclassified non-coding RNA, 395 nt
Filed under: soil metagenome
Description: partial contains 5.8S ribosomal RNA, internal transcribed spacer 2, and large subunit ribosomal RNA
Rfam family: 5.8S ribosomal RNA (bases 1-122)
Source: RNAcentral
GAUGAAGAACGCAGUGAAAUGCCAUACUUGGUGUGAAUUGCAGAAUCCCGUGAACCAUCGAGUCUUUGAACGCAAGUUGCGCCCGAAGCCAUCAGGUUGAGGGCACGUCUGCCUGGGCGUCACAUAUCGUUGCCCAAUGCCUAUUGCAGUGCAAUAGGAAUUUCUAGGGCGAAUGAUGGCUUCCCGUGAGCGUUGUUGCCUCGCGGUUGGUUGAAAAUCGAGUCCUUGGUAGGGUGUGCCAUGGUAGAUGGUGGUCGAGUUAGAACGAUACCGAUCAUGUGCAUGCUCCCCAAAAUAUGGCCUCUAUGACCCACACGCGUCUUUUGACGCUCAUGACGAGACCUCAGGUCAGGCGGGGCUACCCGCUGAAUUUAAGCAUAUCAAUAAGCGGAGGA